This is a non-coding RNA of Arachis ipaensis, 136 nucleotides long. NCBI's taxonomy places the organism in Eukaryota, Viridiplantae, Streptophyta, Magnoliopsida, Fabales, Fabaceae. The record is from RefSeq and is a predicted model, not a curated record.
AAUAUGUUUAAAAAUAUAAAAAUGUUCUUUUUAAAAUAUAAAUUUUUUCCUAAACAGCAUGAAUGACCAAGCUGUUCCAAGCAUAGGUUCAUUAAGUCUAUGCUGAACCAGUUUAGUUUUUCAUACUUUUCUAAAC